UCGGAACUCAUUCCGAACAAAUUAUGGGUCGAAUCAGAAUGACAGAACGUACCUGCCCCCUUCUAGCUGUGCAUUUUCCUUGACCAGUUUUUCUUGCAUGUUCAAUGAUUCGUUCAAUUUUCCAGUUAAAUUUUGGAAACACUUCUUUUUGCCCGUCCGCUCGCUGUCCGCAACUACGAUUUUUGGAAUAUUCUCUUCCGUGUUACCGCAGACGAUCACCCUCGGUAGCCUGGAGGAUUAUUCGGCGUGUGUAAAACACUCGAAUAAUCUAGUGAAAGCCGUACCGAAACACGUUUCCCAUGGGGAUAUGGGAGCAUUUCAAACAUUUUGGCAAAAGUUUGACUCGAGGGAUCGGCCAGACCCAACUGUCGUUGCAAUUUUCUAGUUAUUUUUUCAAACUCUCCCAGCUUGGACAUAACGCUUUCUUGCUUUUCCUUUAUUUUCAACGUGUCCUCCUCCGUCAGAUCUUGUUUCUUGGGACAAAAAGAGAUAUUUUUAGACCCUGCACCGCCAUGGAACAUUCAAGUCGACUCGGGAUUUACAUUGUCAUGACUGCGGUGUCGGUCAGAGGUAUGGAACUCAUGAUGGACUCCCGAUGACCUCCUGAUUUCAACGGCACUCCUGUGUAAUGAAAGGGAAAGAUGCAUGGGCGAGUCAUAAAUCUCUAGUACGAUAAAACAGGGGUAAUCAGAGUGAAUACCUUCCCCCAUCCCUGGUGGCAUGGAAUGAGGCGGAGGUCCAUUUUCGUCAUCUUCG
Molecule: unclassified non-coding RNA, 756 nt
Filed under: Athalia rosae (coleseed sawfly)
Lineage: Eukaryota; Metazoa; Arthropoda; Insecta; Hymenoptera; Athaliidae
Description: misc RNA ENSAEAG00005011288.1
Source: RNAcentral